AUUGAACGCUGGCGGAAUGCUUUACACAUGCAAGUCGAACGGUAGAGGGGGCAACCCCUUGAGAGUGGCGAACGGGUGAGUAAUAUAUCGGAACAUGCCCAGUCGUGGGGGAUAACGUAGCGAAAGUUACGCUAAUACCGCAUACGAUCUAAGGAUGAAAGCGGGGGAUCGCAAGACCUCGCGCGACUGGAGCGGCCGAUAUCAGAUUAGGUAGUUGGUAGGGUAAAGGCCUACCAAGCCAACGAUCUGUAGCUGGUCUGAGAGGACGACCAGCCACACGGGAACUGAGAAACGGUCCAGACCCCUACGGGAGGCAGCAGUGGGGAAUUUUGGAAAAGGGGCGAAAGCCUGAUCCAGCCAUUCCGGGGGAAGGAGGAAGGCCCUCGGGUUGUAAACUGCUUUUGUAAAGAACGAAAAGGUUUUUAUUAAAACUAGGGGCUAAUGACGGUACUGUAAGAAUAAGCACCGGCUAACUACGG
Molecule: ribosomal RNA, 479 nt
Filed under: uncultured bacterium
Lineage: Bacteria
Description: partial 16S ribosomal RNA
Rfam family: Bacterial small subunit ribosomal RNA
Source: RNAcentral